This 253-nucleotide ribosomal RNA is filed under the name uncultured bacterium. Its description in RNAcentral is "partial 16S ribosomal RNA". It matches the Rfam family "Bacterial small subunit ribosomal RNA", at positions 524 to 776 of the family's 1533-position model. The record is from RNAcentral.
UACAGAGGUCUCAAGCGUUGUUCGGAUUCAUUGGGCGUAAAGGGUGCGUAGGUGGCGCCGUAAGUCGGGUGUGAAAUUUCGGAGCUUAACUCCGAAACUGCAUUCGAUACUGCGGUGCUUGAGGACUGGAGAGGAGACUGGAAUUCAUGGUGUAGCAGUGAAAUGCGUAGAUAUCGUAAGGAAGACCAGUGGCGAAGGCGGGUCUCUGGACAGUACCUGACGCUGAGGCACGAAGGCCAGGGGAGCAAACGGG